AGUGAACGCUGGCGGCAGGCCUAAUACAUGCAAGUCGAACGGCAGCACAGUAAGAGUUUGCUCCUACGGGUGGCGAGUGGCGGAUGGGUGAGGAAUACAUCGGAAUCUACUUUUUCGUGGGGGAUAACGUAGGGAAACUUACGCUAAUACCGCAUACGAUCUACGGGUGAAAGCAAGGGAUCUUCGGACUUUUCGCGUUUGUAUGAGCCGAUGUCGGAUUAGCUAGUUGGCGGGGUAAAGGCCCACCAAGGCAACGAUCCGUAGCUGGUCUGAGAGGAUGAUCGGCCACACUGGAACUGAGACACGGUCCAGACUCCUACGGGAGGCAGCAGUAGGGAAUAUUGGGCAAUGGGCGCAAGCCUGAUGCAGCAAUGCCGCGUGAGUGAAGAAGGCCUUCGGGUUGUAAAGCCCUUUUGUUAGGGAAGAAAAGCAGCAGAUUAAUACCCCGCUGUUCUGACGGUACCCAAAGAAUAAGCACCGGCUAACUUCGUG
This 492-nucleotide ribosomal RNA is filed under the name uncultured bacterium. RNAcentral describes it as "partial 16S ribosomal RNA". It matches the Rfam family "Bacterial small subunit ribosomal RNA", at positions 29 to 507 of the family's 1533-position model. The record is from RNAcentral.